This 429-nucleotide ribosomal RNA is filed under the name Verrucomicrobiota bacterium. Its description in RNAcentral is "Verrucomicrobia bacterium partial 16S ribosomal RNA". It matches the Rfam family "Bacterial small subunit ribosomal RNA", at positions 355 to 776 of the family's 1533-position model. Lineage: Bacteria; Pseudomonadati; Verrucomicrobiota. The record is from RNAcentral.
UAGGGAAUCUUCCGCAAUGGACGAAAGUCUGACGGUGCAACGCCGCGUGAGUGAAGAAGGAUUUCGGUUCGUAAAACUCUGUUGUUAGGGAAGAAAAAAUGUAUAGUAACUAUAUACAAAAGAGACGGUACCUAACCAGAAAGCCACGGCUAACUACGUGCCAGCAGCCGCGGUAAUACGUAGGUGGCAAGCGUUGUCCGGAAUUAUUGGGCGUAAAGCGCGCGCAGGUGGUUUAGAAAGUCUGAUGUGAAAGCCCACGGCUCAACCGUGGAGGGUCAUUGGAAACUAAUAAACUUGAGUGCAGGAGAGAAAAGUGGAAUUCCUAGUGUAGCGGUGAAAUGCGUAGAGAUUAGGAGGAACACCGGUGGCGAAAGCGGCUUUUUGGCCUGCAACUGACACUGAGGCGCGAAAGCGUGGGGAGCAAACAGG